RNAcentral lists this ribosomal RNA (934 nucleotides) under uncultured archaeon. RNAcentral's name for it is "bacterial SSU rRNA". It matches the Rfam family "Archaeal small subunit ribosomal RNA", at positions 1 to 922 of the family's 1478-position model. The record is from RNAcentral.
UUCCGGUUGAUCCUGCCGGACCUUGACUGCUAUUGGAGUAGGACUAAGUCACGCUAGUCAAAAGUGCGCAAUGGAGCACCUGGCGUACGGCUCAGUAACACGUAGUCAACCUACCCUAAGGACGAGGACAACCACGGGAAACUGUGGCUAAUGCUCGAUAAGAAAUUUGGCCUGGAACGGUAUCUUUCACAAAACCGGCUCGCCGUGAGACACGGGCCUUAGGAUGGGGCUGCGGCUGAUUAUGCUAGAUGGCGGUGUAAAGGACCACCAUGGCUACGAUCAGUAUGGGCGAUGGAAGUCGGAGCCCAGAGUCGGCUACUGAGACAAGGAGCCGAGCUUUACGAAGCUUAGCGGUCGCGAAAACUCGCCAAUGCACGAAAGUGUGAGUGGGCUACUCCAAGUGUCAUUCUUACGGAUGACUGUCGCACAGUCUUACCAGCUGUGAAAGGAAGGAGAGGGCAAGGCUGGUGCCAGCCGCCGCGGUAAAACCAGCUCUUCGAGUGGUCAGGACGAAUAUUGGGUCUAAAGCGCUCGUAGCCGGACAAGUAGGUUCUUGGUUAAAUCCGACAGCAUAACUGUUGGUCUGCUGGGAAUACCGCUAGUCUUGGGAGCGGGAGAGGACAGAGGUAGUCAUAGGGCAGGGGUGAAAUCCAGUGAUCCUAUGGCGACCACCGAUGGCGAAGGCAUCUGUCUGGAACGUAUCCGACGGUGAGGGGCGAAAGCUAGGGGAGCGACCCGGAUUAGAUACCCGGUUAGUCCUAGCCGUAAACGAUGCGGACUAGGUGUUACAGCGGCCAAGAGCCACUGUAGUGCCACAGUGAAGACGUUAAGUCCGCCACCUGGGGAGUACGGAUGCAAGUCUGAAACUUAAAGGAAUUGACGGGGGCGCACCACCAGGAGUGAAGCCUGCGGUUUAAUUGGAGUCAACGCCGGA